Non-coding RNA from Hyphomicrobium nitrativorans NL23, 164 nucleotides. It matches the Rfam family "6S / SsrS RNA". From Rfam's summary of the family: E. coli 6S RNA was the first non coding RNA to be sequenced, but its function was unknown until recently. It consists of 184 nucleotides that fold into an extended hairpin structure with a large single-stranded internal bulge. The record is from Rfam. Lineage: Bacteria; Pseudomonadati; Pseudomonadota; Alphaproteobacteria; Hyphomicrobiales; Hyphomicrobiaceae.
CUAGUGCUGCGGGGUUCGUCAGGAACACAUGAAUCUCCAGGGCCUAUAAGAUCUGCCUGGGAGCUGUCCCUGGCCGGGGCCGUGGCCCCGGACAUAUGGCGCCCACCUUACAUUUGUAGGGACCCGGCGAGAUCAACCGUUCCAACGGCCACCGCGGCACUUUG